Molecule: long non-coding RNA, 293 nt
Filed under: Hordeum vulgare
Lineage: Eukaryota; Viridiplantae; Streptophyta; Magnoliopsida; Poales; Poaceae
Description: long non-coding RNA (HVUL_LNC012132)
Source: RNAcentral
UCCUGGACCGAGUACUAAGCGGUUAAUAAGUCGAGCGGGGUCAUAUUUCAGGGCCCAGCAUGUGGUAGUAUCUUGUCUUGGAUUACAUACAUGCAACUCAGUUCCUAAGGACGGUUCCAAUGAAACAACCCGCUAUGUACUCCUACAUAGCCUUUCACCGGUACCUUUACCAAAUCAGGUUCAGCACACAACCUUUAUUAACUGAACACAUUCUCACGAUCCUGUUCAUCACCCAAAUGACAGACCAUACACAACUAUAAGCAUAGCAUGCAUAGCAGGAUAUGGCACAUCAA